Molecule: ribosomal RNA, 217 nt
Filed under: Glomeraceae sp.
Lineage: Eukaryota; Fungi; Glomeromycota; Glomeromycetes; Glomerales; Glomeraceae
Description: partial small subunit ribosomal RNA
Rfam family: Eukaryotic small subunit ribosomal RNA (bases 43-217)
Source: RNAcentral
GGAUCAAUAUAUCGGUCAUGCUUAGGUAUGUACUGGUAUUAUUGAUUUCUCCCUUCUGAAGAACCAUGAUGUCAUUUAUUUGAUGUCGUGGGGAAUCAGGACUGUUACUUUGAAAAAAUUAGAGUGUUUAAAGCAGGCAUACGCUUGAAUACAUUAGCAUGGAAUAAUGAAAUAGGACGUUUGAUUCUAUUUUGUUGGUUUCUAGGAUCGACGUAAU